CACGUAGGGCGCAAGCGUUGUCCGGAAUUAUUGGGCGUAAAGAGCUCGUAGGCGGUCUGUUACGUCUGCUGUGAAAACCCAGGGCUUAACCCUGGGCUUGCAGUGGAUACGGGCAGACUAGAGGCAGGUAGGGGAGAAUGGAAUUCCCGGUGUAGCGGUGAAAUGCGCAGAUAUCAGGAGGAACACCGGUGGCGAAGGCGGCUUACUGGUCCGGUUCUGACGCUGAGGCGCGAAAGCGUGGGGAGCAAACAGG
RNAcentral lists this ribosomal RNA (253 nucleotides) under uncultured bacterium. Its description in RNAcentral is "partial 16S ribosomal RNA". It matches the Rfam family "Bacterial small subunit ribosomal RNA", at positions 524 to 776 of the family's 1533-position model. The record is from RNAcentral.